RNAcentral lists this long non-coding RNA (1858 nucleotides) under Homo sapiens (human). RNAcentral's name for it is "HSALNT0392578". The record is from RNAcentral. Lineage: Eukaryota; Metazoa; Chordata; Mammalia; Primates; Hominidae.
UUCCAUGACCUGUGUUCCCACUUCUCCUUGAUAAGGCCAAUGUUUUGGCCCUACUGGUGAAAAUAUGUAGACCUAACAUCUAUCUCCCUGCUCCAGUUUCAAGAGAAAAGACCUUAUUCAGAGAAAUAUUUAGAAGACUCUUGUGGAAUUCUUGCUGUGAGUGGUUUUUCCUUCCCUGCCAUUGGUGCGACUGUUUCCCCCUUCCGUCAAAUUGCUGUCUAGAUGUUUCUCUCUGACCCCAAUUUUCUCGGAGUUUGGGAUUAUCAAUCUAAAAUCAGAGGCAGGGAGGAACUUGGAUUGUCCUUCAGUAAAAUUCCACUUUGAUGCGCAAAGCGAACUUGAAUUUCUGCUUGGCCUACCACAGGCCUGCAACAUGCACUUUCUCCUCGAGGUGAGAAGGUCUUUUUCUCUCCACUCUGAAACACCGCUGCCUGCACCUUUUGCUGAGUUUAGAGUAGCAUCAUACUUUCUGCCACGAAUGCCACAAAUACUGCCUUUUCAACUUGGUUUUGUAAAAUGUAAUGGUACUAAAUCCGCCAAAGGGAUAAAGCACCCUUACUUUGGAUUUGCCAGUCCCAUGGGUACAUAACUGACCUACUACUCUCCCACCUCCCAACCUUGAAACUCCAGCCCCCUGAACGGCCUCACCACUCCAACCCCCACUGCAAUUUCCCACUCCCCACCUCCAUGCAUUGCCCAUUCACCAAGCCAGCCACAUCUCCCUUUAAGUUGAAAACUCACCCGAAAGCCCACUACCUCUUCCAUGCAGCCUCCCCUGAUUAAGUGAGGAUGAAGAAACCUCCAAAGCAUGGCCGACAAACUCCCAAUAAACGAGAACACACACCCCCCCAAAACAAACACAGAAACUCACAAAAGAAGAAAAUGACACAUUCUCUACUUUUGAUUUGUGAAACUCCUAUGGGGCUAAGGAGAUCAAUUUUAUACCAAUAAAUCAUUUCAGAAAAUGAAGUCAUUUUAAUAUUCUUGGGGUUACUCAGCAAAACACUUUGCUUGGACGUCUCUUUUGUACUUUCCUUAAAUUCUUCUUCCUUUUCUUCUCGGCUUUUUGAACGUAUGACUGAAGGGAACUGCCACUCACUGACACGGACAACAGUAAAGGAACUUGGUCUUCACUAUGCCUCAUAGUGGUGGGUCACACUGCCCAGGAGGAACCCGCAAUGAGACCGGCAAAUGCCUUAACCAUCUCAUUGUCUCAUCAGGAAGAAGCUUAAAUGACUCUUCUUGCUCACAUACUUCCUGGGCAAACAUGUCUGCUCUGUUGGGAUAAAGGACGCUCUAGACCAGGCUCUGCUGAAAGAUCCAGGGCAAAGGUUCCUGACAAGACUAUGUCCAGCCUCAAAUAAGGCCACAGAAGAGCCCAGGCUCGCUGACGAGCACCGGCUCCGAGGCAGUCACAUCAGGAGACAGAAACAGACAUGUUGGUGCUGCCCUCUCAGGUCAGUGCAAAUGCCACUUGAGGAGGGCUGAGAGCUUUGCAGCAUAAAAUGACCAGAACAAGGAGAAACACAGAUGCAAUGGCAAUAGCUGGCAAUUCGCACAUGGCGUCAAACACCACUGCCACAGAAGCUUUUUAGCUACAAGCCACGCUAUGCAACCUUUAAGCAAAACAUUAUUGAUUUUGUGGUUGUAAAAACAUACCUUCAACUGCAGAACUCAGUUUUAUGACACCUUGAAUAAAAACAAAAAGUGGCAGUUAUAUAAUGGACCCAAAUCGCCUUUUCCAGGCUUCUCAUAACACACGCAUGCUUCAGAUUUGGAUUUUUCUUUUUCUGCUGGCAUUGCAAGAACGUAACUAAACAAAUAUCAACUUCAAAAAUAAAAUAAUUUUUAGUCUUAA